This 424-nucleotide ribosomal RNA is filed under the name uncultured bacterium. RNAcentral describes it as "partial 16S ribosomal RNA". It matches the Rfam family "Bacterial small subunit ribosomal RNA", at positions 354 to 795 of the family's 1533-position model. The record is from RNAcentral.
GUGGGGAAUAUUGGACAAUGGGCGCAAGCCUGAUCCAGCCAUGCCGCGUGAGUGAUGAAGGCCCUAGGGUUGUAAAGCUCUUUCAGUGGGGACGAUAAUGACGGUACCCACAGAAGAAGCCCCGGCUAACUUCGUGCCAGCAGCCGCGGUAAUACGAAGGGGGCUAGCGUUGUUCGGAUUUACUGGGCGUAAAGCGCACGUAGGCGGAUCGUUAAGUCGAGGGUGAAAUCCUGGAGCUCAACUCCAGAACUGCCUUCGAUACUGGCGAUCUUGAGUCCGGAAGAGGUGAGUGGAACUCCUAGUGUAGAGGUGGAAUUCGUAGAUAUUAGGAAGAACACCAGUGGCGAAGGCGGCUCACUGGUCCGGUACUGACGCUGAGGUGCGAAAGCGUGGGGAGCAAACAGGAUUAGAUACCCGUGUAGUC